This 294-nucleotide ribosomal RNA is filed under the name uncultured bacterium. RNAcentral's name for it is "partial 16S ribosomal RNA". It matches the Rfam family "Bacterial small subunit ribosomal RNA", at positions 333 to 643 of the family's 1533-position model. The record is from RNAcentral.
CAACCUACGGGGGGCAGCAGUGGGGAAUAUUGGGCAAUGGGCGCAAGCCUGACCCAGCAACGCCGCGUGAAGGAAGAAGGCUUUCGGGUUGUAAACUUCUUUUCUGAGGGACGAAGAAAGUGACGGUACCUCAGGAAUAAGCCACGGCUAACUACGUGCCAGCAGCCGCGGUAAUACGUAGGUGGCAAGCGUUAUCCGGAUUUAUUGGGUGUAAAGGGCGUGUAGGCGGGAAUGCAAGUCAGAUGUGAAAACUAUGGGCUCAACCCAUAGGCUGCAUUUGAAACUGUAUUUCUU